UACGUAGGGUCCGAGCGUUGUCCGGAAUUACUGGGCGUAAAGAGCUCGUAGGUGGUUUGUCGCGUUGUUCGUGAAAACUCACAGCUCAACUGUGGGCGUGCGGGCGAUACGGGCAGACUAGAGUACUGCAGGGGAGACUGGAAUUCCUGGUAUAGCGGUGGAAUGCGCAGAUAUCAGGAGGAACACCGGUGGCGAAGGCGGGUCUCUGGGCAGUAACUGACGCUGAGGAGCGAAAGCGUGGGGAGCGAACAGG
Molecule: ribosomal RNA, 253 nt
Filed under: uncultured bacterium
Lineage: Bacteria
Description: partial 16S ribosomal RNA
Rfam family: Bacterial small subunit ribosomal RNA
Source: RNAcentral